ACACUGGAACAGACUUCCUGAUUCACAUCAACCAGCCAGGCCUGAUCCUUUCAUUACAAGGCGAGUGCUGACCUCACCUUGCAAAGCUCUCUGAAGUGUCUGAGCAGAGGGUCCACUCCUCCCCGGCAUACCUUUGCAGCAAUAUCCUGGCAGAUACUUUAUGUCAUGUUGCCAUGAACUGCAUUGUUCUGCCCCAAGCCCCAGGCUACUGGAAAAAAUGGUUGAAGACCUGAAAACUGUGACCCCUGUUGCCUAGCAACUGAGAAGCUCAGCCUCAACUCCGGGUGGGGGAGAUGAUGGAGAAAGGUACUGCAUUUUGAUAAAUUGAAGGUUUGUGGAACGCUGCAUUGAGCAAGUCUAUUGGUACCAUUUUCCAACAGCAUGUGCUCACUUCAUGUCUCUGUGCCACAUUUGCAAUGCUUCUCCAGCUCGAGAGCACAUCAUCACCUGGAGAGCUCAUGAAAACAGAUUGCUGGGCUUCAUCCUCGAGUUUCUGAUUCAGUAGGGCAGGGUGGGGACUAAGAAUAUUCAUUUCUAAUGAGUUCCAGUGGUGCUGAUGUUUCCAGUCCAGGGAUCACCGGUGGAGACCCAUUAGUCUAUGCCAUCCUAGUCCCACCCGCCUGACACCUCAUGCUCACCAGAAGGACACCUUGGGCUGACCAGAGAGGAGGGUUUCUGUGUGAGAAGCGAUUUGUGAAUGCAUCUCAUAAAUGCCCUGCUCUCAGCUGCUGAACAUUCUCCUGCUGAAAGGCAGGGAGCUAAUUAGCACAGCCACCUCGACAGCGUCUGUUCCAGUCACCCCUGCAUGCAUGCUAGAACACCUUUGAACAAUGGAUGACAGUCUGCAGAGAGCACAGAGCUCCCGGAGAACAUAAAAAUGCAAUGGAACAGAAUGAAGGGAUGCAAGUCACAAUCGUCUCAACUGCAAGUUGGCCAAAGUAAACAUUGCCCCAAAGUGCUCCCAAAGCUUGCUGGCACAUAAACAUGAAUGAAUGAACAAUGUAGAAUUCACUCAAGAAAUUUCAAGGAGAGAGAGGAGGAGAUUUACAUCACACAGCAAACAACCUAAUAAAUCUGUUAAACGCCAUGCAUGUGAAUAGGCGUUUUCCUCUUUUUGACCCUUUCUU
Long non-coding RNA from Homo sapiens (human), 1127 nucleotides. Lineage: Eukaryota; Metazoa; Chordata; Mammalia; Primates; Hominidae. The record is from Ensembl.